AUUGAACGCUGGCGGCAUGCCUUACACAUGCAAGUCGAACGGUAACGGGCCUUCGGGUGCCGACGAGUGGCGAACGGGUGAGUAAUGCAUCGGAACGUACCUUUCAGUGGGGGAUAACGUAGCGAAAGUUACGCUAAUACUGCAUAUUCUGUACGCAGGAAAGCAGGGGAUCGCAAGACCUUGCGCUGAUUGAGCGGCCGAUGUCAGAUUAGCUAGUUGGUGAGGUAAAGGCUCACCAAGGCGACGAUCUGUAGCGGGUCUGAGAGGAUGAUCCGCCACACUGGAACUGAGACACGGUCCAGACUCCUACGGGAGGCAGCAGUGGGGAAUUUUGGACAAUGGGGGCAACCCUGAUCCAGCGACGCCGCGUGGAGGACGAAGCCCUUCGGGGUGUAAACUCCUUUUCUCAGGGAAAAAGGAUGAUGGUACCUGAGGAAUAAGCCCCGGCUAACUACGUG
This 458-nucleotide ribosomal RNA is filed under the name uncultured bacterium. RNAcentral's name for it is "bacterial SSU rRNA". It matches the Rfam family "Bacterial small subunit ribosomal RNA", at positions 30 to 507 of the family's 1533-position model. The record is from RNAcentral.